Molecule: non-coding RNA, 351 nt
Organism: Megalops cyprinoides (Indo-Pacific tarpon)
Lineage: Eukaryota; Metazoa; Chordata; Actinopteri; Elopiformes; Megalopidae
Source: the annotation of a RefSeq genome assembly
AUGAACCUGAGCAUAUACUUCAUCAGCCACCCACAGCUCUCAGGAUGCAGAGCUGCAGACACAGUGACCCACCCCAAAGGAGAUGUGACUGCUGUUGAAGGAGAAUCAGUGACACUUGACUGCAAUUACAGCACAAGCUUCACAAAUGCAUAUCUCUUCUGGUACAUAAAGUAUUCACAUGGAUUUCCUAAGUACAUGCUCAGACAGGAUACAUAUGGAGAAGAAGCCAGUGAGCCUGAGUUUGAGGAGAGAUUUCAUGCGAAUCUCAACAAAUGUUUUGGCCCUUCUCUGUACCUUUUAAAGAGCUUCAAUGUCCUUCUUACAGUACGCCUCAAGUUUUCUCUCCUCUAA